AAACCAACAGGGAUUGCCUCAGUAACGGCGAGUGAAGCGGCAACAGCUCAAAUUUGAAAUCUGGCUCUUUCAGGGUCCGAGUUGUAAUUUGUAGAAGAUGCUUUGGGUGUAGCUCCGGUCUAAGUUCCUUGGAACAGGACGUCAUAGAGGGUGAGAAUCCCGUACGUGACUGGUUGCUUUCGCUCGUGUAAAGCUCUUUCGACGAGUCGAGUUGUUUGGGAAUGCAGCUCAAAAUGGGUGGUAAAUUUCAUCUAAAGCUAAAUAUUGGCCAGAGACCGAUAGCGCACAAGUAGAGUGAUCGAAAGAUGAAAAGCACUUUGGAAAGAGAGUUAAACAGUACGUGAAAUUGUUGAAAGGGAAGCGCUUGCAACCAGACUUGCACGCUGUUGAUCAUCCGAGAUUUUUCCCGGUGCACUCGGCAGCGUUCAGGCCAGCAUCGGUUUUGGUGGGCGGAUAAAGGCCUUGGGAAUGUAGCUUCUUUCGGGGAGUGUUAUAGCCCUCGGUGCAAUGCGCCCUACCGGGACCGAGGACCGCGCUUCGGCUAGGAUGCUGGCGUAAUGGUUGUAAGCGAC
RNAcentral lists this ribosomal RNA (572 nucleotides) under Hyaloscypha spinulosa. RNAcentral's name for it is "partial 28S ribosormal RNA". It matches the Rfam family "Eukaryotic large subunit ribosomal RNA", at positions 62 to 648 of the family's 3401-position model. The record is from RNAcentral. Lineage: Eukaryota; Fungi; Ascomycota; Leotiomycetes; Helotiales; Hyaloscyphaceae.